GAUGAAGAACGUAGCGAAAUGCGAUAAGUAAUGUGAAUUGCAGAAUUCAGUGAAUCAUCGAAUCUUUGAACGCACAUUGCGCCCGCUAGUAUUCUGGCGGGCAUGCCUGUCCGAGCGUCAUUUCAACCCUCGAACCCCUCCGGGGGGUCGGCGUUGGGGAUCGGCCCUCCCUUAGCGGGUGGCCGUCUCCGAAAUACAGUGGCGGUCUCGCCGCAGCCUCUCCUGCGCAGUAGUUUGCACACUCGCAUCGGGAGCGCGGCGCGUCCACAGCCGUUAAACACCCAACUUCUGAAAUGUUGACCUCGGAUCAGGUAGGAAUACCCGCUGAACUUAAGCAUAUCAAUAAGCGGAGGA
This 354-nucleotide unclassified non-coding RNA is filed under the name soil metagenome. RNAcentral describes it as "partial contains 5.8S ribosomal RNA, internal transcribed spacer 2, and large subunit ribosomal RNA". The stretch from base 1 to 120 matches the Rfam family "5.8S ribosomal RNA", at positions 35 to 154 of the family's 154-position model. The record is from RNAcentral.